AUGAAGUUUUCGGAUGGAUUUAAAACAGCUUAGUGGCGGACGGGUGAGUAACGCGUGGGUAACCUGCCUCACACUGGGGGAUAACAGUUAGAAAUAGCUGCUAAUACCGCAUAAGCGCACAGUUCCGCAUGGAACAGUGUGAAAAACUCCGGUGGUGUGAGAUGGACCCGCGUCUGAUUAGCUGGUUGGUGGGGUAACGGCCUACCAAGGCGACGAUCAGUAGCCGGCCUGAGAGGGUGAACGGUCACAUUGGGACUGAGAUACGGCCCAGACUCC
This 276-nucleotide ribosomal RNA is filed under the name uncultured Eubacteriales bacterium. RNAcentral's name for it is "uncultured Clostridiales bacterium partial 16S ribosomal RNA". It matches the Rfam family "Bacterial small subunit ribosomal RNA", at positions 66 to 339 of the family's 1533-position model. The record is from RNAcentral. Lineage: Bacteria; Bacillati; Bacillota; Clostridia; Eubacteriales.